Molecule: non-coding RNA, 703 nt
Organism: Coturnix japonica (Japanese quail)
Lineage: Eukaryota; Metazoa; Chordata; Aves; Galliformes; Phasianidae
Source: RefSeq, a predicted model, not a curated record
AAUCAACCUGCAUAACACAAAUUAACAUAUUGCUGUUCCUUCACGUUUAGUUUCCAUAAAUACUUCCGCAUUAAUGCUGUCACAGCUGUUUUGAGGCCAAAAGCCUUCAACAGAACAGUGACUCUGCAGUUUGAUGGAAUGAAACACAUCCAAGGUGAUAAGUAGAAGCAGCGAUGAACUAAUUACAUAAGGGGAGGGCUCUGUAUCUCAUUUCCUAAUUUGUGAAAGAAGCAGAAAUAUACAACUGGCCCAUAGCACUGAGAAGAGAUGCUAAAUGGCAUGAUUAAUUUGAAAAAAAAUAAUGUGGAAUUGCAGAGAAGCAACAUCCACCUCUCUGUAUUUGUCUGUCAGUUUUCCCUAAAUUCUUAAGGAAAAACAAAGAAAGAAGUUUUGGGAAGAUGGGGAAGAAAGGGACGAUAGAGUGUCUCAGUUACUGAAGCAUAAACAACUAUGCUAACUGCAAUGAUCCUUCCACCAGAAAAAUGUAUACAGCGGUGAAGAUCUGUAAAUUAAUCAUAGGAUCUUGACAAAUCCACAACUUUACAUUCAUUAUGCAAGUGAAUUUCAAAGUUGAAUUAUUCCUUGUAUUUCACCCAUUAAUCUUUGGAACCCUAUGAUAUGAAUAGAACAUGGACAGACCUGCAUGGAGCUGGCACUGUAUGUUGAUGCCUCCUUUGAAAUAAAUAAUGAACUUUUUUUGGCA